Molecule: ribosomal RNA, 468 nt
Filed under: uncultured bacterium
Lineage: Bacteria
Description: partial 16S ribosomal RNA
Rfam family: Bacterial small subunit ribosomal RNA
Source: RNAcentral
GACGAACGCUGGCGGCGUGCUUAACACAUGCAAGUCGAACGGAAAGGCCCUGCUUUUGUGGGGUGCUCGUUUGGCGCACGGGUGAGUAACACGUGAGUAACCUGCCCUUGACUUUCGGAUAACUUCAGGAAACUGGGGCUAAUACCCGAUAUGAGCUCCUGCUGCACGGUGGGGGAUGGAAAGUUUCGGCGGUUGGGGAUGGACUCGCAGCUUAUCCGCUUGUUGGUGGGGUAGUGGUUUACCAAGGGUUUGACGGGUAGCCGGCCUGAGAGGUUGACCGGCCACAAUGCGACUGAGAGACGGACCAGACGCGUACGGGAGGCAGCAGUCGAGAACAUUGCACAAUGGGCGGAAGCCUGAUGCAGCAACGUCGCGUGCGGGAUGACGGCCUUCGGGGUGUAAACCGCUGUCGCCGGUGACGAAGCGGGAGUGACGGUAAUGGGUAAAGAAGCAACGGCUAACUACGUG